This 696-nucleotide ribosomal RNA is filed under the name Triticum aestivum (bread wheat). RNAcentral's name for it is "partial small subunit ribosomal RNA". Lineage: Eukaryota; Viridiplantae; Streptophyta; Magnoliopsida; Poales; Poaceae. The record is from RNAcentral.
AUGGAGUACCAGGGACAGCAGCAGCACGGCCGCGUCGACGAGUACGGCAACCCGGUGGCCCGACAUGGCGUCGGCACCGGCAUGGGGACGCACGGCGGCGUCGGCACAGGAGCGGCCGCCGGUGGGCAUUUCCAGCCCAUGAGGGACGAGCACCAGACUGGCCGUGGGAUCCUGCACCGCUCCGGCAGCUCCAGCUCCAGCUCGUCUGAGGACGAUGGCAUGGGCGGGAGGAGGAAGAAGGGCAUCAAGGAGAAGAUCAAGGAGAAGCUCCCUGGUGGCCACGGUGACCAGCAGCACACCGGUGGCACCUACGGACAGCAGGGUACUGGCAUGGCCGGCACCGGCGGCACCUACGGGCAGCAGGGUCACACUGGGAUGGCCGGCACCGGUGGCACCUACGGACAGCAAGGCCACACUGGGAUGGCCGGCACCGGCGGCGCCUACGGGCAGCAGGGUCACACUGGGAUGACCGGCACCGGCGGCACCUACGGACAGCAGGGCCACACUGGGAUGGCCGGCACCGGAGCACAUGGCACCACGGCCACCGGCGGCACCUACGGGCAGCAGGGCCACACCGGGAUGACAGGCACAGGGGCGCACGGCACUGGCGGCGCGUACGGGCAACACGGCACGGACACCGGCGAGAAGAAGGGCAUCAUGGACAAGAUCAAGGAGAAGCUCCCUGGCCAGCACUGA